ACUUUUUGAGCCACUUUCUACAUUUUCUGUUGAAAGAUACAGUUUGAAUCCGAUGUUGCCAUGCUAUGAUUGCAGUUACUAAUGCCUGAAGAGCAGCUUGAUUCUUAGAACUAACUCUUCAGGCACAAACGUUUACAAAGAUGUGUUUGGUUUGGAUCAUCUUGGGACCUAUGUAAACUCAUUGGAAUUGAAGGUUCAAAAUUCAACCGCCAUACGUAGUCGAGGUAAUCCUGCCACCUGGCGACCAGAAUUGACCUCAACGGAUUUUCAUGCGUUUUGCUUUUUUUCUACUUCAUUGCCAACUUGAGCGUGAAAUCUGCAAAAAUUAGUCAAAUGCGGACCCCAAAUCCGCCAACCCGCCAUCAAGAUUUUUUCGAAAAACUUCGAAAAACCGCCAAUUUGGCGGAAUAUCCGCCGCAUCUGGCACCACUGGUUGGAAGAGCCAAAUGGCUUGAACUUUUGCCAAAGAAGGCAAGCAGGAACAAUGUGGGAAUGGGAGAAUUACUAUAUUGGGACAAACUGAGAAGAUUGGGACUAAACAGUAUCUAAAGAAGUCGAAAGAAUAUGGACUUUCAUAUCCAAAGAGGACUAUUGAAGAAGAAUGGGGGUAGGAAAUAUUUUUUUCCUUUCCUUAGUGGGUUUUUAUGUCAGAUUCUGAUUUACUGAUUUAACCUUUUGCGGCUAUUCUUGGGCAAAACAACGUUUUGUUUUAGUUGUUAUCUAUAUGAUUUGGAACAGGUAUUUGUUGAUCAAAAAUGAAGCAUGAUUAUAAUGACCGGCAUUAUCAUCUAUCUA
Molecule: long non-coding RNA, 795 nt
Organism: Tigriopus californicus
Lineage: Eukaryota; Metazoa; Arthropoda; Copepoda; Harpacticoida; Harpacticidae
Exons: 3
Source: RefSeq, a predicted model, not a curated record